Molecule: ribosomal RNA, 501 nt
Filed under: uncultured bacterium
Lineage: Bacteria
Description: bacterial SSU rRNA
Rfam family: Bacterial small subunit ribosomal RNA
Source: RNAcentral
GAUGAACGCUAGCUAUAGGCUUAACACAUGCAAGUCGAGGGGCAGCAUGGUCUUAGCUUGCUAAGGCCGAUGGCGACCGGCGCACGGGUGAGUAACACGUAUCCAACCUUCCGUUUACUCAGGGAUAGCCUUUCGAAAGAAAGAUUAAUACCUGAUAGUAUGGUGAGAUUGCAUGAUAGCACCAUUAAAGAUUUAUUGGUAAACGAUGGGGAUGCGUUCCAUUAGGUAGUAGGCGGGGUAACGGCCCACCUAGCCGACGAUGGAUAGGGGUUCUGAGAGGAAGGUCCCCCACAUUGGAACUGAGACACGGUCCAAACUCCUACGGGAGGCAGCAGUGAGGAAUAUUGGUCAAUGGGCGAGAGCCUGAACCAGCCAAGUAGCGUGAAGGAUGAAGGUCCUACGGAUUGUAAAACUUCUUUUAUACGGGAAUAAAGUAUCCUACGUGUAGGAUUUUGUAUGUACCGUAUGAAUAAGCAUCGGCUAACUCCGUGCCAGCAGCCG